Molecule: long non-coding RNA, 598 nt
Organism: Cuculus canorus (common cuckoo)
Lineage: Eukaryota; Metazoa; Chordata; Aves; Cuculiformes; Cuculidae
Exons: 4
Source: RefSeq, a predicted model, not a curated record
GGUAUUCCUUGCUUUGAGUUGGAUGAAGAACGUGAGUGGUGGCAGCUUUGGACUGUGGCAGAGGUCCCCAGGUCCCCUCUGCAGCGCACCAUGUCAUAAGGGAAGCUGGAAAACUACAACAGGCGAGGGAGAAAAAGCUGAACGAUAGAUGUGAGGAGGAAAUUCAAGGCACUGCCCACCCUGCCCACUGGACAACGUGCCUCUUUGGCGUAGGUGGAUCCAUUAAGUGCAUCUCGACCGCUGUGGAGUCAGCAUUGGAUGAGAGAAUGUGCUGCUGGAGAUGAAGAGAUGAAGCAUGGAGAAAAUGGGCAGAAGAGGUUCAGAAUAUUAAUAAGGCUGGAACAUCGUGAUGUUCACAUGGGCAGAGGGAGCCCUGUUAGACCCCAGGCUAUACGAUGCUGAUACUCUAGAAUUCCCGGAUCUGUACGGAGCGGACCUUUUGCUGAGCAGCCCUCGGACAGCUGUUCAGUCUGGGACUUCUGGUUGGAUCCACCACAGACUUGACAUUGAACAUAUAUGUCACUACUUUCCCAGAGAGUAGGACAUCUGCAGCUCCAAGUUGUCAGCACUGCUUGACUUUUCACUGGUUCAGCUCGGU